Molecule: ribosomal RNA, 253 nt
Filed under: uncultured bacterium
Lineage: Bacteria
Description: partial 16S ribosomal RNA
Rfam family: Bacterial small subunit ribosomal RNA
Source: RNAcentral
AACGUAGGAGACAAACGUUAUCCGGAGUUACUGGGCGUAAAGGGCGUGUAGGUGGUUUCGUAAGUCUGGCGUGAAAUUUUUCGGCUUAACCGGGAAAGGUCGUCGGAUACUGCGGAACUAGAGGACGGUAGAGGCGUGUGGAAUUCCGGGUGUAGUGGUGAAAUGCGUAGAGAUCCGGAGGAACACCAGCGGCGAAGGCGACACGCUGGGCCGUACCUGACACUGAUGCGCGACAGCAUGGGGAGCAAACAGG